Molecule: small nuclear RNA, 153 nt
Filed under: Zalophus californianus (California sea lion)
Lineage: Eukaryota; Metazoa; Chordata; Mammalia; Carnivora; Otariidae
Also listed under: 1 other name
Description: U2 spliceosomal RNA (ENSZCAG00015004098.1)
Rfam family: U2 spliceosomal RNA
About the family: U2 is a small nuclear RNA (snRNA) component of the spliceosome (involved in pre-mRNA splicing). Complementary binding between U2 snRNA (in an area lying towards the 5' end but 3' to hairpin I) and the branchpoint sequence (BPS) of the intron results the bulging out of an unpaired adenosine, on the BPS, which initiates a nucleophilic attack at the intronic 5' splice site, thus starting the first of two transesterification reactions that mediate splicing.
Source: RNAcentral
AUCGCUUCUCGCCUUUUGGCUAUGAUCAAGUGUAGUAUCUGUUCUUAUCAGUCUAUAAACCUCGACUCCCAAAGAUAUAUAAAAAGAAGUAGAAUCUGAGCUCCUAUGGGUUAUCACAUAAGAUAAAAAUAUGUUUGUGUUCAAGAAACACUA